GUAGGGAAUAUUGGGCAAUGGAUGCAAGUCUGACCCAGCCAUCCCGCGUGCCGGAAGAAGGCCCUCAGGGUUGUAAACGGCUUUUGACGGUGAAGAAUCGACAGGAUGCGUCCUGUUUUGACGGUAGCCGUUGAAUAAGCACCGGCUAACUCCGUGCCAGCAGCCGCGGUAAUACGGAGGGUGCGAGCGUUGUCCGGAUUUAUUGGGUUUAAAGGGUGCGUAGGCUGGAAGGUCAGUCAGCGGUGAAAAGCUAUCGCUUUACGAUAGUCUUGCCGCAGAUACUUCCUUUCUUGGAUGAGGAGGAGGCCACUGGAACGGAUGGUGUAGCGGUGAAAUGCAUAGAUAUCAUCCAGAACACCGAUUGCGAAGGCAGGUGGCUGUACCUUAAUCGACGCUGAUGCACGAAAGCAUGGGGAGCAAACAGGAUUAGAAACCCCAGUAGUCC
This 445-nucleotide ribosomal RNA is filed under the name uncultured bacterium. RNAcentral's name for it is "partial 16S ribosomal RNA". It matches the Rfam family "Bacterial small subunit ribosomal RNA", at positions 354 to 796 of the family's 1533-position model. The record is from RNAcentral.